GCAAUGAAUAUUGGCCUGCUGUGCUGUGUGGCUUUUUGUCUCCUACGAGCAGGUCCAGUGAAUGCUGGUGUCACUCAGACCCCAAUGUUCCAGGUUCUGGAAGCAGGACAGAGCAUGACACUGACAUGUGCCCAGGAUAUGAACCAUGAGGGCAUGUACUGGUAUCGACAAGACCCAGGACUGGGGCUAAAGCUGAUCCAUUACUCAGUGGCUGUUGGUACCUUUAGCAAAGGAGAAGUCCCUGAUGGCUACAGUGUCUCUAGGUCACGUACAGAGAACUUCUCCCUCACGCUGGAGUCAGCUACCCACUCACAGACAUCUGUGUACUUCUGUGCCACCACUUACUCCACAGCGCUACACUACCGUCUUCUGUCUGCACAUAAAGACAGGGCAGGCACUGCCCCUCACCCCACCCCUAACCCAGUGGUGCCUUGGCUGAGUCCUCAGCACCUGUAA
Molecule: non-coding RNA, 456 nt
Organism: Carlito syrichta (Philippine tarsier)
Lineage: Eukaryota; Metazoa; Chordata; Mammalia; Primates; Tarsiidae
Source: the annotation of a RefSeq genome assembly